UUUAUGGAGAGUUUGAUCCUGGCUCAGGAUGAACGCUGGCGGCGUGCCUAAUACAUGCAAGUCGAGCGAACGGACGAGAAGCUUGCUUCUCUGAUGUUAGCGGCGGACGGGUGAGUAACACGUGGAUAACCUACCUAUAAGACUGGGAUAACUUCGGGAAACCGGAGCUAAUACCGGAUGAUAUUUUGAACCG
Molecule: ribosomal RNA, 193 nt
Filed under: Staphylococcus aureus
Lineage: Bacteria; Bacillati; Bacillota; Bacilli; Caryophanales; Staphylococcaceae
Description: partial 16S ribosomal RNA
Rfam family: Bacterial small subunit ribosomal RNA
Source: RNAcentral